RNAcentral lists this ribosomal RNA (520 nucleotides) under uncultured Glomus. RNAcentral describes it as "SSU rRNA". It matches the Rfam family "Eukaryotic small subunit ribosomal RNA", at positions 569 to 1090 of the family's 1831-position model. The record is from RNAcentral. Lineage: Eukaryota; Fungi; Glomeromycota; Glomeromycetes; Glomerales; Glomeraceae.
AGCAGCCGCGGUAAUUCCAGCUCCAAUAGCGUAUAUUAAAGUUGCUGCAGUUAAAAAGCUCGUAGUUGAAUUUCGGGACCGAUAUAUCGGUCGUGCCUCGGUACGUACUGGUAUUUUCGGUUUCUCCCUUCUGACGAGCCUUGAUGUCAUUAAUUUGGUGUCUUGGGGAAUCAGGACUGUUACUUUGAAAAAAUUAGAGUGUUUAAAGCAGGCUCACGCUUGAAUACAUUAGCAUGGAAUAAUGAAAUAGGACGUUUGAUUCUAUUUUGUUGGUUUCUAGGAUCGACGUAAUGAUUAAUAGGGAUAGUUGGGGGGCAUUAGUAUUCAAUUGUCAGAGGUGAAAUUCUUGGAUUUAUUGAAGACUAACUACUGCGAAAGCAUUUGCCAAGGGAUGUUUUCAUUAAUCAAGAACGAAGGUUAGGGAUCGAAACGAUCAGAUACCGUUGUAGUCUUAACAGUAACUAUGCCGACUGGGGAUCGGGAUGGACCUUCAAAUUUGAUGCGUCAGUUCGGCUACCCG